GCGGCCGUAGUCUAGCUUGGUUAGGACGCUGGCCUCCCAAGCCGGUGACCCGGGUUCAAAUCUCGGCGGCCGCA
This 74-nucleotide transfer RNA is filed under the name Candidatus Bathyarchaeota archaeon. RNAcentral's name for it is "tRNA-Gly". It matches the Rfam family "tRNA". From Rfam's summary of the family: Transfer RNA (tRNA) molecules are approximately 80 nucleotides in length. Their secondary structure includes four short double-helical elements and three loops (D, anti-codon, and T loops). Further hydrogen bonds mediate the characteristic L-shaped molecular structure. tRNAs have two regions of fundamental functional importance: the anti-codon, which is responsible for specific mRNA codon recognition, and the 3' end, to which the tRNAs corresponding amino acid is attached (by aminoacyl-tRNA synthetases). tRNAs cope with the degeneracy of the genetic code in two manners: having more than one tRNA (with a specific anti-codon) for a particular amino acid; and 'wobble' base-pairing, i.e. permitting non-standard base-pairing at the 3rd anti-codon position. Lineage: Archaea; Thermoproteati; Candidatus Bathyarchaeota. The record is from RNAcentral.